UUCAAAGCUUUAGAGUACAUUGCAGGUCCGACACCAAGGUUUUUUCCAUAAAAGUUGGGGGCAAUAGAAUUGGUACAUAACCAAACUGUUGCAAUUAAGGAAUCAGGAUCUGCAUACAGAAGUGUGAGAAGGAAAUUGGUUAAUAAUGUGACAAUGCGUAUCCUGGAUUUGGUAGAACUAAUUAAGGAAAAGGUGUUAGCAAGUGAUGAGUAACUGAAGCUUUUUGUAUCUUUUGAAACAAAUCGGGCUCGACAACUUUUCACGUAAGUCAAAGGAUCUUUCUGUAAAGCAUCGUAAUCAAUUGUGGAAUCUUUGUUCACGCUAUCAGUUGAGAAAAAAGAAGCUUUGCAUUCUUCGCUUGUAACUAAAUUCUCCUUAGGUUUAUCAUUGCUUUCUUUUACAACAUUAAAUGUGUCAGUAUGAUACUCUUCUUCAGGUAUAAUUACAUCUUUAGGAAGCUUUUCCGGAGCAGUAGCUUGGUUCUCAGAAUCAAAAAGCUGUUGAAGCUUUAAUGCAUAAGCAUAAUCGCUGGCGCUUUGAUCGUGAUCGGUGAGCAAUUUGUUUGGUGUAUCUGUAAGCUGUGCUUCUCGUUUUGAAAACAAAUCUUGAAUUGUAAUAAUAUUUCGGCUUUUCUCACCCUUUUUAGACGUAGAUUU
Molecule: non-coding RNA, 656 nt
Organism: Schizosaccharomyces pombe (fission yeast)
Lineage: Eukaryota; Fungi; Ascomycota; Schizosaccharomycetes; Schizosaccharomycetales; Schizosaccharomycetaceae
Source: the annotation of a GenBank genome assembly